Ailuropoda melanoleuca (giant panda) is the source of this 50-nucleotide non-coding RNA. NCBI's taxonomy places the organism in Eukaryota, Metazoa, Chordata, Mammalia, Carnivora, Ursidae. The record is from Rfam.
CUAAAAUAUUAUAUUUUUUCUAUAAAAAGGGAAAAAAUGGAAAAAAAUAC